Molecule: ribosomal RNA, 252 nt
Filed under: uncultured bacterium
Lineage: Bacteria
Description: partial 16S ribosomal RNA
Rfam family: Bacterial small subunit ribosomal RNA
Source: RNAcentral
UACGGAGGGUGCGAGCGUUGUCCGGAAUCACUGGGCGUAAAGGGCGCGUAGGUGGCGCGGGCAGUCAACGGUGAAAGUUCGGGGCUCAACCCUGAAUCGGCCGUCGAUACUCCCGGGCUUGAGCACUGUAGAGGCAGAUGGAAUUCCGGGUGUAGCGGUGGAAUGCGUAGAGAUCCGGAAGAACACCGGUGGCGAAGGCGGUCUGCUGGGCAGUAGCUGACACUGAGGCGCGACAGCGUGGGGAGCAACAGG